RNAcentral lists this ribosomal RNA (496 nucleotides) under uncultured bacterium. RNAcentral's name for it is "partial 16S ribosomal RNA". It matches the Rfam family "Bacterial small subunit ribosomal RNA", at positions 29 to 507 of the family's 1533-position model. The record is from RNAcentral.
ACGAACGCUGGCGGCGUGCCUCAUACAUGCCAGUUGAGCGCUGAAGGUUGGUACUUGUACCAACUGGAUGAGCAGCGAACGGGUGAGUAACGCGUGGGGAAUCUGCCUUUGAGCGGGGGACAACAUUUGGAAACGAAUGCUAAUACCGCAUAAAAACUUUAAACACAAGUUUUCAGUUUGAAAGAUGCAAUUGCAUCACUCAAAGAUGAUCCCGCGUUGUAUUAGCUAGUUGGUGAGGUAAAGGCUCACCAAGGCGAUGAUACAUAGCCGACCUGAGAGGGUGAUCGGCCACAUUGGGACUGGGACACGGCCCAAACUCCCACGGGAGGCAGCAGUAGGGAAACUUCGGCAAUGGACGAAAGUCUGACCGAGCAACGCCGCGGGAGUGAAGAAGGUUUUCGGAUCGUAAAACUCUGUUGGUAGAGAAGAACGUUGGUGAGAGUGGAAAGCUCAUCAAGUGACGGUAACUACCCAGAAAGGGACGGCUAACUACGUG